GGGAGAGUUGGCUCCUGGCCCGUAUCUCCACUCACUGUAUCAGUCCCGUGAUUGCCCCCUUCUUAUCAGACUUCUGGCUCUGUUGUGCACCUCAAGGGCCUCAUACAUCUAAACUGUGUUCACAGACCCUCAACCCUAAGCACUCCCUGGACCACCUCUCAGGCCUCGUGCACCAUGCUGACCACACAGCCUGUCUUCAAGACCCCGGAGAGAGGCCAUGAAGGCUUGACAUCAUUCGCUCGAGGGAUACCAGGGGCCACUAUCUGAAGCACGAUGUAGACCCUUGCUACGCACAGCACCAGGGACAUAAUUAGAAAUGCAGCAUCUCAGAUCUGCUCCAGGAUGCCUAAAUUAGAAUCUGCAUGUUGGUAAGAUCCUCAGGUCUUUCUUAAGCACAUUUAGGUUAGCAAAACACAAACAAAAAGGAAGGGUAGCUGCUUGGUUCCAAGGCCUCCUCAGGCUAUGGAGAGAGGCAGGGCCGAAAGAAGGCUAGGAUGGCGCUCGCUAAAGAGCAUGCUUGCCAGUGACUGAAGGUCAAUAAAGGCCGGGCAGACCGCAAAACGAUUCGGUAGGCCUAGGGGUAGGCCUAGCGUAAGAGACACAUGCCGCACUUCACGAAGGGGAUGCCGAGGGCGUCAGCCCUGCCUAAAGGGGGCGGCUGGUGAUCAUCUUCAGUUCACUGUGGCCCUGAGGAUGGAUAGCAGCCAUGAGGAAAGAAGAAACUUUAUCAAGUUUCACUUCUUAAAUCUUCAAGUCUGUGCUUCAGAUGACUCCCAGUCAAGACCAAAAUGUAUAGAUUAUAUGCAGUGGAAGUUGGAGGUCAGGGGAUUGGAAGAAGAAGAAAGAAGAAAGAAGAAAGAAAGAAGAAAGAAGAAGAAGAAAAGAAGAAAGAAGAAAGAAGAAAGAAGAAGAAGAAGAAGAAGAAGAAGAAGAAGAAGAAGAAGAAGAAAGGAAGAAAGAUGACAGAAUUUGAGAGUUAUAAUUAAAAUGCCUUUUUUGGAUCCUGAAUUAUUACAAACCAAGGUCUAGGAAGAAAGACCCUUCCAAAUAAUUUUCAUAAAAAUAACCUCCCGAUGUAUUUCUGUCCCAUGCAUUCCAGUCUUUAAAUACCAACGUUAAUGUUACCUUGUUACUUCACUGGAG
RNAcentral lists this long non-coding RNA (1143 nucleotides) under Vulpes vulpes (red fox). Its description in RNAcentral is "lncRNA (ENSVVUG00000027622.1)". Lineage: Eukaryota; Metazoa; Chordata; Mammalia; Carnivora; Canidae. The record is from RNAcentral.